Molecule: ribosomal RNA, 424 nt
Filed under: Fusobacteriota bacterium
Lineage: Bacteria; Fusobacteriati; Fusobacteriota
Description: Fusobacteria bacterium partial 16S ribosomal RNA
Rfam family: Bacterial small subunit ribosomal RNA
Source: RNAcentral
UGAGGAAUAUUGGUCAAUGGGCGAGAGCCUGAACCAGCCAAGUAGCGUGCAGGAUGACGGCCCUAUGGGUUGUAAACUGCUUUUAUGUGGGGAUAAAGUGCGUGACGUGUCAUGCAUUGCAGGUACCACAUGAAUAAGGACCGGCUAACUCCGUGCCAGCAGCCGCGGUAAUACGGAAGGUCCGGGCGUUAUCCGGAUUUAUUGGGUUUAAAGGGAGCGUAGGCUGUCUAUUAAGCGUGUUGUGAAAUUUACCGGCUCAACCGGUGGCUUGCAGCGCGAACUGGUCGACUUGAGUAUGCAGGAAGUAGGCGGAAUUCAUGGUGUAGCGGUGAAAUGCUUAGAUAUCAUGACGAACUCCGAUUGCGCAGGCAGCUUACUGUAGCAUAACUGACGCUGAUGCACGAAAGUGCGGGUAUCAAACAGG